RNAcentral lists this ribosomal RNA (253 nucleotides) under uncultured bacterium. Its description in RNAcentral is "partial 16S ribosomal RNA". It matches the Rfam family "Bacterial small subunit ribosomal RNA", at positions 524 to 776 of the family's 1533-position model. The record is from RNAcentral.
GACAGAGGGUGCAAGCGUUGUUCGGAAUUAUUGGGCGUAAAGCGCGCGUAGGCGGUUUUGUAAGUCGAAUGUGAAAUCCCGUGGCUCAACCAUGGAAGUGCAUUCGAAACUGCGAGACUGGAGUAUCGGAGAGGGUGGUGGAAUUCCCAGUGUAGAAGUGAAAUUCGUAGAUAUUGGGAGGAACACCAGUGGCGAAGGCGACCACCUGGACGAUUACUGACGCUGAGGCGCGAGAGCGUGGGGAGCAAACAGG